This 241-nucleotide ribosomal RNA is filed under the name uncultured Actinomycetales bacterium. RNAcentral's name for it is "partial 16S ribosomal RNA". It matches the Rfam family "Bacterial small subunit ribosomal RNA", at positions 89 to 334 of the family's 1533-position model. Lineage: Bacteria; Bacillati; Actinomycetota; Actinomycetes; Actinomycetales. The record is from RNAcentral.
ACUCGAGUGGCGAACGGGUGAGUAACACGUGGGUGAUCUGCCCUGCACUUCGGGAUAAGCUUGGGAAACUGGGCCUAAUACCGGAUAGGAGCCAUCUUUAGUGUGGUGGUUGGAAAGUUUUUCGGUGUAGGAUGAGCUCGCGGCCUAUCAGCUUGUUGGUGGGGUAAUGGCCUACCAAGGCGGCGACGGGUAGCCGGCCUGAGAGGGUGUACGGCCACAUUGGGACUGAGAUACGGCCCAG